This 498-nucleotide ribosomal RNA is filed under the name Sphingobacteriales bacterium. RNAcentral describes it as "partial 23S ribosomal RNA". It matches the Rfam family "Bacterial large subunit ribosomal RNA", at positions 1 to 520 of the family's 2925-position model. Lineage: Bacteria; Pseudomonadati; Bacteroidota; Sphingobacteriia; Sphingobacteriales. The record is from RNAcentral.
UAAAGCGAAUAAGGGCGUAUGGUGGAUGCCUUGGCAUUGAGAGGCGAUGAAGGACGUGGUAAGCUGCGAUAAGCUUCGGGGAGCUGCAUACAAGCGAUAUAUCCGGAGAUUUCCGAAUGGGACAACCUGUUACACUGAAGGUGUAUCACCCGAAAGGGAGCCAACCCAGAGAACUGAAACAUCUAAGUACCUGGAGGAAAAGAAAAUAACUAAUGAUUCCCUAAGUAGUGGCGAGCGAACAGGGAAGAGCCCAAACCUGGGGGGCGUGCCCCCCAGGGGUUGUAGGACCACAUUUAGAAAGCAACAUCAAACUGAACCUUUUGGAAAGGAGGGCCAUAGCGGGUGACAGCCCCGUAGGUAGAAAUUGUUGUGGACGCGUGGUAUCCUGAGUAGCGCGGGACCGGAGAAAUCCUGCGUGAAUCUGCCAGCACCAUCUGGUAAGGCUAAAUACUCCUCAAUGACCGAUAGUGAACCAGUACCGUAAGGGAAAGGUGAAAA